RNAcentral lists this transfer RNA (75 nucleotides) under candidate division WWE3 bacterium CG08_land_8_20_14_0_20_41_15. RNAcentral's name for it is "tRNA-Gln". It matches the Rfam family "tRNA". Rfam says of the family: Transfer RNA (tRNA) molecules are approximately 80 nucleotides in length. Their secondary structure includes four short double-helical elements and three loops (D, anti-codon, and T loops). Further hydrogen bonds mediate the characteristic L-shaped molecular structure. tRNAs have two regions of fundamental functional importance: the anti-codon, which is responsible for specific mRNA codon recognition, and the 3' end, to which the tRNAs corresponding amino acid is attached (by aminoacyl-tRNA synthetases). tRNAs cope with the degeneracy of the genetic code in two manners: having more than one tRNA (with a specific anti-codon) for a particular amino acid; and 'wobble' base-pairing, i.e. permitting non-standard base-pairing at the 3rd anti-codon position. Lineage: Bacteria; candidate division WWE3. The record is from RNAcentral.
UCGGGGGUCGUCUAAUGGUAGGACAGUGGCCUUUGAAGCCAUUAAUUCUUGGUUCGAGCCCAAGCCCCCGAGCCA